UAGUGAGUUUGAUCCUGGCUCAGGACGAACGCUGGCGGCGUGCCUAAUACAUGCAAGUCGAGCGGAUGACAGAGGAGCUUGCUCCUCUAGAUUCAGCGGCGGACGGGUGAGUAACACGUGGGCAACCUGCCCUGUAGAUUGGGAUAACUCCGGGAAACCGGGGCUAAUACCGAAUAAUCCUUCGGACCUCAUGGUCCGAUGUUGAAAGGCGGCUUCGGCUGUCACUACAGGACUGGGCCCGCGGCGCAUUAGCUAGUUGGUGAGGUAACGGCUCACCAAGGCCACGAUGCGUAGCCGACCUGAGAGGGUGAC
RNAcentral lists this ribosomal RNA (312 nucleotides) under uncultured Caryophanales bacterium. RNAcentral's name for it is "bacterial SSU rRNA". It matches the Rfam family "Bacterial small subunit ribosomal RNA", at positions 1 to 304 of the family's 1533-position model. Lineage: Bacteria; Bacillati; Bacillota; Bacilli; Caryophanales. The record is from RNAcentral.